UACGAGUGCCCCAAGCGUUAUCCGGAAUUAUUGGGCGUAAAGGGUCAGUAGGCGGUUUUGUUAGUCUUCUGUCAAAUUCUUCGGCUUAACCGGGGGUCCGCAGGGGAAACGGCAAAACUUGAGGAUGCGAGGGGUGAAUGGAACUCAUAGUGUAGGGGUGAAAUCCGUUGAUAUUAUGGGGAACACCAAAAGCGAAGGCAAUUCACUGGCGCACUCCUGACGCUGAAUGACGAAAGCGUGGGUAGCGAAUGGG
RNAcentral lists this ribosomal RNA (253 nucleotides) under uncultured bacterium. Its description in RNAcentral is "partial 16S ribosomal RNA". It matches the Rfam family "Bacterial small subunit ribosomal RNA", at positions 524 to 776 of the family's 1533-position model. The record is from RNAcentral.